GAAGAGCAAAUGCACGAUUCACAAGUUUCGUUUCGCCAUUUUCAUUGCUGUUAAUUUCGCAAGAUCCCACGUGACCUCCUUUGGAUCAGUGAAAAGUGAAAAUUACUCGCGUCGUGAACAUAUAUGUUCAUCUCAGCGCAAAUCACGUUUUGCAUGCUAUAGCAGGAAGGGGGAUCAAUACUCUUCCUUUCGUGUUUUGAUAUCUUGUUGUUUUGCUACUCUCACUUCGGAGUUCGGAUGGUGUCUAGCAACGUUGGGUACCUCGUUUCUUGUGUGAGCAAGUGGUUGCUGUUUACGACGUGUUCAUAUAUCGAUUUGUAGCGCUGUAAUGUGCAAAUUAGCGGACUUUAUAGCGGCUCUCUAUUUUCCGUCGUUGUCUUUCGAGCAGCGCCUGUUGUUGCGGUAAAAAUCGAGUUGAAUGAAUCGCCACAGCCCCAACGUAUAUCGCGCAGUGUUGACCAAGACCAAGUAAAGCAGGAAUUCUGGCAUGGUAUGUGGCUGCACGGAGGAUUCCGAAAAAGAAAAACAACAACAUGGCUAAUAGGAUGUUGCUGCCCAGGGAGUCCUGGCGAAGAGGUUUACUCAUUCCAGAAGCAAGAAUUGUAUCAUUGUAAGGCGAAUGGAAAUAAACUGACAUCGACUGAGA
Molecule: long non-coding RNA, 646 nt
Organism: Ornithodoros turicata
Lineage: Eukaryota; Metazoa; Arthropoda; Arachnida; Ixodida; Argasidae
Exons: 3
Source: RefSeq, a predicted model, not a curated record